This 1492-nucleotide ribosomal RNA is filed under the name unidentified Verrucomicrobium group OPB35. Its description in RNAcentral is "bacterial SSU rRNA". It matches the Rfam family "Bacterial small subunit ribosomal RNA". Lineage: Bacteria; Pseudomonadati; Verrucomicrobiota; Verrucomicrobiia; Limisphaerales. The record is from RNAcentral.
AACGAACGCUGGCGGCGUGGAUAAGACAUGCAAGUCGAGCGGUCACCAUCUUGCAGCAAUGUAGGGUGGUGAUAGCGGCGCACGGGUGAGUAACGCGUGGGUUACCUACCCUGAAGACUGGGAUAAUCCCGCGAAAGCGGGACUAAUACCGGAUGUGGUUUCUCGAGGAAAGCCUCGGGAAAUUAAAGCUGGGGACCGAAAGGCCUGGCGCUUCAGGAUGGGCCCGCGUCCUAUCAGCUAGUUGGUGAGGUAAUGGCUCACCAAGGCUAAGACGGGUAGCUGGUCUGAGAGGACGACCAGCCACACUGGAACUGAGACACGGUCCAGACACCUACGGGUGGCAGCAGUCGAGAAUUUUUCACAAUGGGCGAAAGCCUGAUGGAGCGACGCCGCGUGGGGGAUGAAGGGCUUCGGCCUGUAAACCCCUGUCAGCCACGACCAAAGUCCCUUGCCUAACAAGUGAGGGAUCUGAUGGUAGUGGCAGAGGAAGGGACGGCUAACUCUGUGCCAGCAGCCGCGGUAAGACAGAGGUCCCGAGCGUUGUUCGGAUUCACUGGGCGUAAAGGGUGCGUAGGCGGUUGGGUAAGUCCGACGUGAAAUCCCGUGGCUUAACCACGGAAUUGCGUUGGAAACUAUCCAGCUCGAGGGUUGGAGAGGGGACUGGAAUUCUCGGUGUAGCAGUGAAAUGCGUAGAUAUCGAGAAGAACACCGGUGGCGAAGGCGAGUCCCUGGACAACUCCUGACGCUGAGGCACGAAAGCUAGGGGAGCAAACAGGAUUAGAUACCCUGGUAGUCCUAGCCGUAAACGGUGCACGUUUGCUAUGGGUGGAAUCGACCCCAUCCGUGGCGAAGCUAACGCGUUAAACGUGCCGCCUGGGGAGUACGGCCGCAAGGUUAAAACUCAAAGAAAUUGACGGGGGCCUGCACAAGCGGUGGAGUAUGUGGCUUAAUUCGAUGCAACGCGAAGAACCUUACCUGGCCUUGACAUGCACGUGGUAGGAGCCCGAAAGGGUAACGACCCCGCAAGGGGAGCGUGCACAGGUGCUGCAUGGCUGUCGUCAGCUCGUGUCGUGAGAUGUUGGGUUAAGUCCCGCAACGAGCGCAACCUUCGUGUCCUGUUGCUACCAGACCAAAAAAUCUGGGCACUCUGGACAGACUGCCUCAUUUAAAUGAGGAGGAAGGUGGGGAUGACGUCAAGUCAGGAUGGCCCUUAUGGCCAGGGCUGCACACGUACUACAAUGCCCGGUACAAUGGGAUGCAAUACCGUAAGGUGGAGCAAAUCCCCAAAAACCGGGCCCAGUUCAGAUUGUCGUCUGCAACUCGACGGCAUGAAGCCGGAAUCGCUAGUAAUGGCGCAUCAGCUACGGCGCCGUGAAUACGUUCCCAGGCCUUGUACACACCGCCCGUCACAUCACGAAAGCCGGCUGUACCCGAAGUCGCUGAGCCAACCGCAAGGAGGCAGGCGCCGAAGGUAUGGCUGGUGAUUGGGAUG